AGAGUUUGAUCCUGGCUCAGGACGAACGCUGGCGGCAUGCCUAAUACAUGCAAGUCGAGCGAACUAGAGGUUAGAGAUUAGAGGCUAGAGGUUAGAUUGAGGGUAGACUCCUUCGGUCCAACUUCUAAUUUCCAACCUCUAACUUCUAGUUAGCGGCGGACGGGUGAGUAACGCGUGGGCAACCUGCCCCAAAGCUCGGGAUAACACUCCGAAAGGAGUGCUAAUACCGGAUGUAGUUGCGGUACUGCAUGGUACUGCAAAAAAAGGAGAAAUCCACUUUGGGAUGGGCCCGCGUCUGAUUAGCUAGUUGGUGGGGUAACGGCCUACCAAGGCGACGAUCAGUAGCCGACCUGAGAGGGUGAUCGGCCACACUGGGACUGAGACACGGCCCAGACUCCUACGGGAGGCAGCAGUCGGGAAUAUUGGUCAAUGGGGGAAACCCUGAACCAGCAAUGCCGCGUGAGUGAUGAAGGUUUUCGGAUCGUAAAGCUCUGUCUUUGGGGACGAAUAAAUGACGGUACCCGAGGAGGAAGCCCCGGCUAACUACGUGCCAGCAGCCGCGGUAAUACGUAGGGGGCGAGCGUUGUCCGGAAUUACUGGGCGUAAAGGGCGAGUAGGCGGUUUAAUAAGUCAGAUGUGAAAUGCCAGGGCUCAACCCUGGAACUGCAUUUGAAACUAUUAGACUUGAGUGCAGGAGAGGAAAGUGGAAUUCCCAGUGUAGCGGUGAAAUGCGUAGAUAUUGGGAGGAACACCAGUGGCGAAGGCGACUUUCUGGACUGUAACUGACGCUGAGGCGCGAAAGCGUGGGGAGCAAACAGGAUUAGAUACCCUGGUAGUCCACGCCGUAAACGAUGAGUGCUAGGUGUAGAGGGUAUCGACCCCUUCUGUGCCGGAGUUAACACAAUAAGCACUCCGCCUGGGGAGUACGGUCGCAAGACUGAAACUCAAAGGAAUUGACGGGGGCCCGCACAAGCAGCGGAGCAUGUGGUUUAAUUCGA
This 998-nucleotide ribosomal RNA is filed under the name groundwater metagenome. RNAcentral's name for it is "bacterial SSU rRNA". It matches the Rfam family "Bacterial small subunit ribosomal RNA", at positions 8 to 954 of the family's 1533-position model. The record is from RNAcentral.